Molecule: long non-coding RNA, 1939 nt
Filed under: Sus scrofa (pig)
Lineage: Eukaryota; Metazoa; Chordata; Mammalia; Artiodactyla; Suidae
Description: lncRNA (ENSSSCG00070010794.1)
Rfam family: Small nucleolar RNA SNORD116 (bases 1757-1848)
Source: RNAcentral
UGCGAUGCCGAGCCCUUGGACGCCCUGGAGGGGGGGUGCUGCCCGGCAGAGCGUGCCACCCGCGCCGCGUGGAGCGCUUCGCCCAGGUCGCCGCGCGGGGGCCUGGGCAGAGCGGGGAGGUCGGCGGCCAGGGACGUCUCUCAGCUGGCAGUGCCUGGGAGGCUGCUCGGGGCGGGUGUCCGGGUCCUGCGGCGGGCGGCUGGAUGGCGAGCGGAGACGGAGGCCUGGGCUUGGGCAGCGUGGCGGUGUCCUGGCCCCGACGGUGACGGAGGGCUUUGAUGAGGCCCGGCGGCCGCGUGCUUGCCAGGAAGGCCCGGGGCUUGAGGCCCUGGAAGGCCUGGCCCGUUCAGGAGUCCCGGCUGUUUGGGGGAAUGUCCCACGCCCUGUGGGGAUUUGCGCCGUGUCUCCCGGCCGACUUGGGUGUCCCGGUUGGUGUGUGGUCGGGACUGGGAGGGGCUUGGUGCGGGCGGGAACCGCCGGGUAGCGACCACGUCUCGUCAGGGGGUUCGUGCCUGCUGCUGGGCACGGGAACGGCUCCGGGGGGGUCUUACGGGCGCUGAGGGGAUUCCGCAUCAUGGAGAGGUCAAGGGGAGUUGGUGGCCGUCACCCUUCGUCAGGGCAGGGUAGCAUCAGUGCGCCCGUGCUGGGGUUCCUGGAGAGCCGGCUGGCACGGACAGACUCUUGUGAGGGCAAGUGGCUGAUCGUGCGUCGGAUGGGUCCAGCAAAGGAGAGAAAGCUUCGGUGCGCGCGCGCUCGCCAGGGAAAGGGUGACAGCGGGUGGGACCCAGAGGGAGAGAACAAAGGAAGAGAGAGGGUUUCCGCAGGGGUGGUGAGUCCUGGCGGAAGUCCUGAGGCAGAGGAGGUGCCAGGGGUUUGGGUUUCCCGGUCGUGUCGGGGGUGUGGCGCAGGUUGCCCCAGUGGGCCUGAAUGUGCCUCCGUGGGGCACCUUGUUGCCGUGUUGGGGGGCGGGGAGCCGGCCUUGGGGAUCCAUCUUUCGGGCCCUGGGACGUGGGAGAAUGCCGGGGCCUCUCUCUGUGCCCCUGGCACGCCUCUGUGCAGGCCGGGCCUGCACCCCCCCCCGCGCCCGUCCCCCAGGCAGGGUCCGUGUGGCUGCAGACACCCAGAGAGAGGGGAGGCUGGGGAGGCUGGGGAGCCGUGGCAGCCCGAUGCAGUGCGGGUCUCCAGGUGGAGGGGCCCUGGUCCCCUGGCGCCAGCGUGGCCCUUCCUCCUUGUGGAAACCCUUGUGGUGUGUGUGCUCUCUCGCCCUGACCCAGGAGAGCAGCAUGGCGGACCCCUGAUCUUGUGGCGUGCCACCGCGCGAGGCCGAGGAGCUCCCGCAGCCCAGUGGGCGUGGCGUCCUUGUCGCGGCUCUGUGGAGACCUGGCGAUGGAGAGCAGCAUGGCGGACCCCUGAUCUUGUGGCGUGCCACCGCGCGAGGCCGAGGAGCUCCCGCAGCCCAGUGCGCGUGGCGUCCUUGUCGCGGCUCUGUGGAGACCUGGCGAUGGUGAGCGGCCCCUGUCCUCAGUGGUGGAGAACUCGCCCUUGGGGCGCUCGUCUGUCCGGAGCCCCGGGCCAGCCCCGCUUCUCGCGGGCUUUGGCCCCGGCAGGCCAGCUCCGGGGGCGUGAGGGGGAGCGUCCCGUCCUGCCCAGUGGCUCGUCUGUCUGGGCACGCCCCCAAACGCUGCCGUGAUGGAGCGGGUGGGAUGUCCAGGUGCGGAGGCCGUGAAUUUGCCUUGCGGCGGCGGAGCCCGUGCUCGGAUCGAUGAUGACUCCCUCUAAAGCAUUCCUUGGAAAUCUGAACAAAAUGAGUGAGAACUCACUACCGUCUCCUCAUCGAAACUGAGGUCCGGCACGUGGCGGCCACCGGGGGCUCGGGGGUAGAUGGGCCCUUGGCCUUGGGGCCUCUGGGUGUCAGCAGCCACUCGGGUGAGGUCUGGGG